AAACAACAAGCACUUAAUAAAAAAGAGAAAAGCAAAUUACACCAAAAAAAUUCACACAGAAAAAAAUGGAGUCAUCAAAGAAGCUUGUUGCCAUGUUUCUUGUUUGCAUUGUUGUGUUAUCCUACUCUGUGCAUGUUUCCAAUGCUGCUGAUGAAGAUAGUGCAAGGAGAUUUGUGGAUAAAGCUCACGCAGAUUAUGCAGCUUGUUUCAAUGACUGUGACGAGGACUGUACUCAUCAAGGAUUAGGAUUCACAUUUUGUGAGGUUAAAUGUGACGAGGAUUGCACUGAUCAAUUGCUUAAAGGUAUAUAUACACACCAUUUACUUCCACCGUUUAAACAAAAAUGAUUUGUUUUGACCUGACACGUAUGUUUGAUUUUACCUAUAUAUUCAUUUACUCCCAUCAUUUAAACAAGAAUAAUCUGUUUUGACCUGACACGUAUGAUGGAUUUUACCUGUAUAUUCAUUUAUUCCCACCGUUUAAACAAGAAUGAUUUGUUUUGGACUGAUGCGUACGUUGGAAUUCACCUAUAUAUUCAUUUACUCUUGCUGUUUUAAUAAGAAUGAUUUGUUCUGACCUGACUCAUAUGUUGGAUUUUACCAAUAUAUUCACUUACUCCCACUGUUUUAAUAAGAAUGAUCUGUUUUGACUUGAUACGUGUGUUGAAUUUUACCUGUAUAUUCAUUUACUCCCGCUGUUUAAACAAGAAUGAUCUGUUUUGACUUGAUGUGUAUGCUGGAUUUUACCUGUAUAUUCAUUUACUCCUGCUGUUUUAAUAAGAAUGAUUUGUUCUGACCUGACUCAUAUGUUGGAUUUUACCAAUAUAUUCACUUACUCCCACUGUUUCAAUAAGAAUGAUCUGUUUUGACCCAACACGUACGUUGGAUUUUACUUAUAUAUUCAUUUACUCCUGCCACUUAAACAGGAAUGAUCUAUUUUGACCUGACAUGUGUGCUGGAUUUUACCUAUAUAUUGUCCGUCCUACUUGGUGGAUGAUCUAUAUAUUUUAAUACACAAAAUUUAAGAAAGUAAAGAAGUCUUUUGAAUCUUAUGAUCUUAUGUAAAAUGUAUCAAAACAUGCAUGCCACGUGAAAAAUACCAUAAAAGAAAACGAUCAUUCUUUUUUAAACGGACUGAAAAAGAAACUAGGUCAUUCCUUUUGAAAAUGAGGAUAUACUCCCUCCGUUUCCAAAAGAAUGAUCUAUAUAUUCUGACUUGGCAGACGGACUUUAAGAAAGUAUAGAAGUCUUUUCAAUCUUGUGGCCUUAUAUAAAAUGUACCAAAACAUACGUAUCACGUGAAAAGUUGAAACUAAAAUAUUGCCAGAAGAAAACGUUCAUUCUUUUCGAAACAGACUAAAAAAGAAAGAAAAUGAGGAUAUACUCCCCCCAGUUAAAAAAGAAUGAUCUUUUUUUAUUUGACAUGCAGUUUAAGAAAAUAAAGAAGUCUUUUAAAUCUCGUGGUCUUAUAUUAAAGUUAUGUCAAAUGUAUGGUCUUAAACAUGCAAUUCGAACAAUUGGAAUUACUCCCUACGUGCAUUAAUAGUUAUCCAAAAUCUAAUGAUCGUGGAUGCUCGAAAGAUUUAAACAUGUAUAUUAGAUUUUACCAAUAUAUAUUAUCCAUCCAGCAUGGUGGAUGAAAUUUUAUCUUUUAUUAUAUAUAAUUCUGUCUCUCAUAGUAUAAUAAAUAACAUGUUAAUUACUAUUUUUCUAACAUGUUAUUAUGUUCUAUUUUUGCAGCUAGAAAAUUGAAGAAUUAAAGUCUUGGAAAUGGACCAAAUAUAGAGGGGAAAAAGAGAAUAAACAGGACAGUGGAUUUUUUAUUUCUACUAAUUAAUUAAUUCAAUUACUAACCACUGUACUUGUAAUUUUUAAGAUUCAAUAAAUUCGUUUUUUGUCUCUAAUUACUGUUGAUUCAAUUUAGUUAAUGUCAUUUAUUUUAAAUUUUAUCUUAUGUCUUCUUUAUAUAUUGGACAAUUGGGGUGUGUAUCGAUCAAUUUGCUUCAAUUUUGUAUAUUAUCGGUUUGAUUCAUCAAUCUUCGAUUUGUAAAAUUGCUAAAUCGAUUAUCAAAUCAAUAAGAUAUUUGUUAUCAGUUUUCGGUUAUCGAUUUUUGAUCCUUAUCGGUUUGAUUUUCGGUUUAAUCGAUAAGAAAAUAUUCUCCUAAUUUUUUUUUUAGUUUCUCUUAUUUUCAUUUGUUCUACACUAAAGCAACUACUGCUGAGCAGAGAAUGAGAAGAGCGAUAGUUUAUUCAUAAGUUAAUAGAGAAUAUAUAGGCUCUAAUACAACACUGAACCCUAAAGUAAUACUACAGCUAAUUACACUCCUAUAGUGAUAAAAUAACUAACUACAGUUGUACAAGCAGAUAACUAAUAAUAUAAUUACAAAUUAUACUCGUAUAUCUUUUUUACACCCCUGCGAGUUGGUGUUGACAUCUACAAUACCCAACUUAUCAAACAUACGAGUGAAAGAAGCAUGUGGAAGUGGCUUGGUUAGAACUUCAACAACUUGAUCAGCAGCAUGUAAGUGCUUGACUUCAACCUCUUUGUGUUGCACUGCUCAUGGACAAAGUGGAAAUCGAUGGUAAUAUGCUUCAUCUUACUAUGAAAGACAGGAUUCUCGCAGAUGUAUGUAGUUCCAAUAUUAUCACAGAGUAUGCACGGAAUGCAAGCAAGGGAAAAACGAAGCUCACGCAGUAGGUUGUUGAUCUAGUUGGUUUCUGUAAGAGUAGCAACUACAACUCGGUAUUCAGCUUCGGAUCGUUGCUUCUUGGAGGACCACGAGACUGGCGUACUUCGAAGGUAUAUAACAUAGCCAGUUGUGGAAGUUCUGUCUAUAGGGUAACCAUCCUAAUCAGAGUCAGAGUACACCAUAAUUUGACUAUUGGUCUCAUGGGUUAUUCUACUGAGAUCUUGUCAGGUCCGUUGUAGUCCUGAGAAAUGGCUAAACUGCGAGCAUCAGUUGUGAUGUGAUGGUUAGCCCCGGAGUUAACAAUCCAUGGAUCUUGUUGCUGUGAAAUAUGAGAAGCAUAAUUAGUACGAGCCUUAAAGUGUUUGUGAGGCUGGCAAACAAAGCAUUAGAAUUCCUGCACACUGCCUUCGCAAACGAAUCACAUACUAGAAUUAUCAGUCUCCAAGAUCAAUUUGCCUGUAUUACAAAAGAUUCUUGGUCUGUCACUGACUAUCUACGUGACAUACGUUCCAUUGCCGAUGAACUUGCAAUUGGUGGAGCUCCAAUCACAUAUUUGCAACUUACCGUGCGAAUCCUGCAAGGCCUUGGUCCUGAAUAUAACGCUAUUUCUGCGGCCAUCCGAUCACGUGAAACAAUUAUCACCUAUGAAGAACUCUGUGAGAAACUUCUUGAUCAUGGGAUCUUUCUUAAACAGGAAGAAGCCAAAUGGAAACCUACUACUGUAAUUACUCAACGAAACAACUAAGCACCUUCCAGAAACAACAACAAUCGGAAGCAAGGAAGUGAUACCUCACAAGGUAGCCAACCAUGGUAUUCCCAUACAGCUCGAGACUCCUCAAAUACCCAACAAUGACACUCUCGUUGAAAUCAGCAACCCUAAAAUACUGACAGUUUUCUUCGCUAUCAACUCCGUGAUAAAAAAAUUGGGAUCGUACUCGUGUGAGCUUUAGAUCUCUGAUACUAUAAAGCAACUACUUCUGAAAAGAGAAUGAGAAGAGCGAUAGUUUAUUCAUAAUUUAAUGGAGAAUAUAUAGGCUCUAAUACAACACUGAGUCCUAAAGUAAUACAACAACUAAUUACAGUUCUAAAGUGAUACAAUGACUAAUUACCACUGUACAAGCAAAUAAGUAAUGACAUAAUUACAAAUUAUUCUCAUAUAUCUCUUUAUACUCUACUGUCAUGCAUAAAGUCUACUCAAAUCAAUAACAACUAAGACAACAACUAUAAAACUGAAAACAUAGCAAGGUAUGUAACUAAAUCCAAAGUCAUUAUUAUACAAUUAUGACUUAAAAUAUAAUUUUAAUAUAAUCUUAUUGGGUUAUCAGUUUAACCGUUAACUAAAAUCUUAAAACAGAAAAUCGAAUAGAUAGCCCAAUAAGAAAAAUUAUAAAAUCAUUUAAAAGUUGUAAACCCAAUAGUACGGUAUCAAUAAACCAAUAAUAUUCUUAUUGGUUCAGUUUAUUAGUUGAGCCUAUCUUUGCACACCUUUUUGUCCGGUAUUAGCUUUUCGAAAUGGUGUAGCCUUUUAGGGGUUGUUUGGUAGAGAGAAAAGAUAAUAAUUACGAAAUAAAUUUUGAAACAACUUCAACACAUUAUAACUAUUAUUUAGGAUGAUUAUUAGUCAGGUUAUCUAUGAUAUUUGUCAUGACAAUCUUUAUUUUCUUAAUUUUUUUUUUAAAUACCACUAGACUGAGUGUCUAACGGACUUUUAUUAAUAAAAAAAUCCUCAAUGUGAAAAAGUACAAGUAAUGGGGGCUAGACCUUACCUUACCAAUCUUAAUAAGGUAACAAAACCCCUACUAAUUAACCAACAUGAAGAAAAUAAGAGCUAGAGAAAACUAGAUAUCCUAUGAUCAUCACAGAAUGUAUAAUACAUUCGAUGGUGAUAUUACUGAUUAGAACACUUACAUAAUUCCAAAAGAUAAACGUCAGUUGAGUUAUCAUCCCCAAACUUCCUUUUAUGCAUAUAUGAUUUAAAGAAGAUAGUUUGCCCGUCUAAUGUAACUUGAAGUUUUUUUUCCACGUUUUCUUCUUCAAGUCUAUCCAAAAGCACUUGAUAGUUCAUAAUUUCUUUCAUUUAUUGAAUUUUAUUGAAGUUGUUGACACUGUCAUAUGAUUUUUCUUAGCAAGUUGCAUCGGCAGGUUCCUUGGAAUAAAUUCUCCAGUAACCAUACCAUCUCAUUUAUGUUGCCUUCCAUGUGUCUUCUUUUUGUUCUUUCUACUUCCACUUCUUUGUUGCCUUGGUGAGAUAUCCCCAUCUCUAGCUACUUUUUCAAAACAUAUUUCCAACUCUUCCUCCUCCUCCUCAGAAAGGUCCUCAUCACUAGCAAAAGUAUUAAGUUCCUUCUCAGAAAGGUCCUCAUCACUAGAAAAAGCAUUAAGUUUUGACGUUAAAGUUUCUAACUCAUUCUUCUUUGCGUUCGCACUUUUAGGCACAAAUGCUGGAGUUUCUGGACUUAAUCUACUAUUCAAAGAAGAAGGUGAAACUCGCUCUUCUUUAUCAACCAAAUCCGCCCACCUAGAAGCAUUUAUCUCUCCUCGUGUUUCCUUAACAAUAAUCAACUCAUUUGUGACUUUAAUUGAGAGACUGAUGUCAUAUUUUUCUCUAUGUAAUGCUCCUUUUGGAUGUUUUUCGUAACAGACAAUGGCUCAAAAAUAUUUUGAGUUGGUAAAAUUAAAUUAGGAUUGACACAUCCAGUUUUACCUUUUUUCCAACUUGGAGAAUUUACUUUGACUUUCCAAAGAACCAAUGCGACUACCAAGUGUUUUCUUGUGUGUAAUAAGAUUUUCGUAAUUUCUUUCUCUAUAUACUUUGGCCAAUUUUUUGUUUCAGCCGAAGAUCUAUUGGAAAUAUUUUCAGCAUCUCUACCUCUAACAUAGUGGUGCGGGUCUGUGUAUGCUCUAUCAUUUUCGGACCCUACUUUAGUGGAAUUACACUGUUUAUAUUAUUAUUGUACUUUAUUCCACGUUUAUUCAGUGGCGGAUUGUAGCAUCCUCAAAAUUUGAAGUAAUUCAAUUUUAGCUUUUACGCUCUCGAAACACCAAUUUUUGACUUAAAUUGUACUUAGGUAUGUUAAAGGGGUGUACCGGAAGAGUUUUGAAAUUUUUGAAUGGGACUCGCGCUGAUUUCGGGCCUCAGAGGUAGUAAGCCUCUACAAUAUUGGCGUGUCACGGAGGCUAACCUCCAUGAUAACCUCCGUGACAUGAGGCUGGGCCUCCGCGAUAAGGUCCGUGACACGAAGGUUAGUCUUUGCAAUAACCUCCAUGCCACGAAGGCUGUGUUUUCCUGCGAUUAUUAUUUAAUGUCCAAAUGGGGAUUUUUGGUCUUUUUCCCUUUAAACCCAUCCCCCAUGACUUAAAACAUCCCAUAAACAUUAUAUUACCUUUGAAAAUCCCUAAACAAUCAUUCCGUAACAAGAGAGGAGACUAUCUAGGGCUUGAAGAUUUUGAUAUCCAAGGGUCAAAUAUCUCUACGUUUUCUUUUUUUUCAAGGUAUGUCAGACUAUGCUAACUCUCAUAGGCAUAAGUUUAUUUUUUUAAACAAGAAUUAAACUGUAUAUUUACGUAUGUGGAAUGGAUUUUGAAAACCCUUAAAGAGCAUUGUGACCCUAUUUUACGAUGAAAUUAUGUAUUUUCUAUAGGGGUUUUCUAGGUACUUGAAUCAUAUUCAUGUGUACAUAUAUGAGAUUUGAGAAUUGAAUUGAGAGCAUGAUUUUUUAUAUUCCAUCUAUUCUGAUGAAAUUACUUGUCUAAAUUUGUUAUGAAUUGUUCAAAUGGGUGAUUAAAAGCUUGAGACAUAUGUUUUUCUAUCAAUGGUGUAAUUACAUGAUUAUAUAAUCAAAUGAGAGGGUGCUUUCUUUUUUUAUAAAUGGUCUUUGUGUCUAACAUAAGAACUUUAUGUGAGUAAUGAAAGAGAUGGCCGUCCCAUGUUAAAUUCUUGAAAGAAAAAGAAUUUGCAUAAGUUUCAUUUGAUAUUUGAUAUAAGAACUCUCUCAUGUGAUAUUAAAAUCUUUUGAGUGGUCAUUAAUGUGUUUUUGAAUGAAAGAGCUAUGAUUAUGACAUGACAUGACAUGGCUUACAAGGCUGGGUAUGACAAUGCCUAUCACGGGAGGCCCUUAACAUGAAAGAGAUAAUAUUGAAAAGCAUGAAACAUGGUUUUAAAUGACUAAAUUGGACCUAAAGAGAGCGAGUUGAUUGCCUGAAGAAGGCAUGGGUUCAGAUAACCCAUAUCCCAAAACCGUGUUUUGCCGAUACGAGUUUUAUUAUAUAUUGUUCAGCAAGUGGAAUAAUGUAACACCCCACAAAAAUCAUCCAUCCGUUAGAUCGUGGUAAUAUGCUCUUAGAGUUAAAUGACUAGAAUUGUGUCAAACAAACUUAGUCUCAUUUUUGACUCCCAAUGUGAGUUACGUUUAAACCAUAUAUAAUUUUCCUAAUUUAGACUUAUUAUCAUGUGUAAAAUUGAAUAAGCUUUCCGUCGAGAUAAGAUUUGCCCAAAUUUGAUAUUCGGGAAAGAAGUUAUGGAUAAUUUAAGAUCUUAUCGUAAAACACCAUCAUUUUGGCGCUUGGCACGUCGCGUAGUGGGCCUAUUUAGCAAUUGUCAAAUUCCAGUAGCAUAGCGCGAUUGUGGCGCGUCGCGCUGAAGUUUCAGGUCCCAACCAGUGGGACAACGCGAUAGCUAAUCCAAUUCAUUUAUUUCUAGUGAGCCACCGCGAUUGUGACGCGUCGCGGUGGCCAUGAAAUCGGGAUUUCAGUUAUAUUUUUUAUUCCAUCUCAUUAAGGGUACAUUGGGUAUUUUCCACCCCCUUAUCAUCUUAAACACGAGAUUUUAAUCUUAAAUGACCUCAUUAUUGAUAUUUUCAUCAAAAAUCAUCAAGAACACUCUCUAAGGUUUCAAUCUAAAAGCCCAAACAACUCAAGAUUCAACCUUGUGUUUUAGGAAUUGAUUGAAAAUUUGGAAUCCCCAAGCCGUGGGCAUCAAGAAUCAUCCUUUAAUUUUCUAAAUAGAGGUACGUGGGGUUUAUCCUAAAACUAUAUGGGCUUGUUGAAAACACCCAAUUAUGAUUUAAAAAUCAUCAAGCAUGAAUUUGUUAAAGGGGUUUUGAGAUCCAUGAUUUUAUUAUGCUUUAUGCAUGUUUAAUGAUAUUGUUGUUUAGGCCUUUCGGCCUUAUCCCCUUAAACUGAUUUACACUUAUAAGUAUAUGUAUGAAACUUGAAAUUGAAGAUUUGUUUGAGAGCACAAUUAAUGAAAAUCUCUCUCUUGUGAUAACCUUAUGUUUAUGAUCUUAUGGUCAUUAAUUGAAAUGCAUGAUUUAUGGCUUGAAAAUAGUUUACUCAAAUACCAUAGUAUUUUGAGCAUGAUUUAGAGAUUUAAGAGAGGGAGUUUCUUGAUGUAAAUACAUUUUGUUAAAAGAGAAAGAUUUGCAUGAGAUUAAAAGCUUUGACAUGAUCACCUUGCAUCAUUUAAAAUUUGACAAAGAGAGUUACAUACAUGUGUUUACAUGAGUUUUAAAGAAAGAGUUAUUUGAAAUGAUUCAUUGAUAUGAUGGUGCAGAAUUUAUGUUUUGUAAAUAGAGAUUGAAAUAUGCUAAAAAUGGCUCAGAGAUGUGACUUGCAAGUCAAUGGUAUAACGAUACCAUAUAAAUGUUUGCCAUAACAGAGUUAGAGUUUUUAGAGUAUGUUUUUAGAGAAUGCAUGUCUUAAAGAGUUAAAAAUGGGCAUAAAGAGAGUUAGGUGGUUGUCUGAAGAGGGAUAGAGUUCAAGUAACUCUUAACCUAAAACCAUGAUUUGCCGAUCCGAGUAUAUUAUUUUUACACUGGCGACGGCCGUGUGGCGUAGCAGAGUCAGAGACUCCAACCCUUGCGGCACACUUAGGUUGAAGGCUUUCCCGCCAAGUCAAUGACGGAUUCCAUAUAGCCCAUGGAAUUUCAAAAUUGUAGGGUAUACCAUCUAGCGUAGAAGUAAAACAAAGAAUGUCUCAGAGUUCAAAUGAUUUUCUUUCAGAGUUUUUUCAGAAAUGCCCAUGUGAUUUCUUACUAUAUGAUAUGUUUAUGAACUGUUUUUAAAUUGCUCUCAUAUAUAUUGAAUAUAAAUUAUUAUUUUGAAUUUGCUCUGCGUACCAGUACAUAUGUAUUGACCUCCUACCUCCCAGGUUCGGAGGCUCAGUCUAAGGGUUCGGCUAAUCAGUACAAUAUUCUAGAGAGAAGUGAUCCGUUCAGUGGUGAGCCUUCUUUAUUCCAGAAGGCUUGUUAUUUUAGAUUAUGUUAUUCCAUUGGUUUGGUCUACUGGGGACCUUGUCCCAGUUUUCAGAUAGUUGUCAGAUUUUCAUGUAGUAGAGAUUUCGCAAACUGUUCCAGAUGUUGUUUAGUUGAUUUUGGAUUCCAUUCCUUAUUGUUAAACUAAAUCCAGAGUAUGACCAUGUUUUCGUAUUAGAUUAUAUUUCUGCAUCUUCUUUAUUUAUGUGAAUGUUGUGCAUGAUUUACAGUUAGAGUAGGACGCCCAGGACUUCAUGGUUCGGGAUGUACGUCAUGGUCAGGCCCUAGAUCGGGUCGUGAUAAACUUGGUAUCAGAGCAUGUUUCAUAGUCCCAAGGUGUCUGCGAAAUCGCGUCGGAUAGAAUUUUGUUUAUGGGUGUGUAGCGCGCCACACUUUUAAGCAGGAGGAUACUAGGUGUUUAGGAAUGUUUCUCUUCUUUGUGGUUUGGUUCAUGCUUCAGAGUCUGAGUUUUCCCCUAAUCGGUAAUAUCUUAUGUUUUAGAAAAACAAUUAUGCCUCCCCGUCAUACUAUCGAUCAGAAUGCAUAGAUAGAUGAGGUCCAUCCCACUCAUAGGAUGAGAACCCGAAACAGAUCUCAGACUCUUGAUAUUGAUGCUACUCCAGGAGUCCCACCUACUUAGACCAUCCCACUUAGAGUGCCCAAAGCUCCCCGAAAGGGGACUAACCGCACUCAGCCUCGCGAGAGAGAGAGGUAUCUAAUGCAGAAUUCAAACAGUCCAUUCAUAUGCUUACCUAGUUGGUAGCCACACAAACUCAAUGGUUGAAAGAUAUUGGGUCUGCAUCUGUUAUAUCUGAAGCUACAAGAGUGGGCUAGUUCAUGAGUAUGAACCCACCCAAGAUUACUGGUACCAAGGUAGAAGAGGAUCCACAGGAGUUUGUGGAUAAGAUGGAGAAGAUCUUUAAGGUAAUGCAUAUAGAUGAGGUAGAGGGGGUUGAUUUAGUGGCUUACCAGCUUAAGGAUGUAGCGAACCAAUGGUAUAAUGAGUGGGAAUAUUCAAACAGUGAGCAUGCUGAGCCCACAGUUUGGGUCGAGUUCGUUGAAGCCUUCCUUGAUCAAUUCUUUCCUCUUGAGUUGAGGGAGGCCAAAGUCGAAGAGUUUAUAAAUCUAAAGCAGGGUAAGAUGAGUGUCCAGGAGUACACUUUGAGGUUCAACCAACUAGCCUAUUAUACUCCUGAGAAGACUAGUAACUUGAGAGCCCGAAUAAGAAAAUUUGCAUUCAGCCUUACAGAUGACUUAAUGCUUGAAUGUCAGGGAGCAAUGUUGAACCCGGACAUGGAUUUUGCCAGACUUUUAGUCCACAUACAGCAAGUUGAGGAAAAAAAAAAGAUCACUGAAUCUAGAGAGAAGGACAAACAAACAAGGAGAUCCAAAAUAGCAGACCAGAGCUGCAGUCAGUAGCAGAGUGGGAAUUAGGGUAACUAAUGGUUGAAGAAGAAAAAUUGGGGUAAUGCGCUGUCUACAACCAGUGCUCCGAUAUCCAGACCCCCAGCCGGAUAGCACACUUAGGAUUUUUAGUAUAGGAAGGGGCCGAGGAUGCAGGGUUUGCAAUCUCAGGAAAGUGUAGCUCGGACCUCUCAGACAUACCUUCGCUGUGAGAAAUAUGGGAGGAAUCAACCAGGGAGAUGUAAGUUUGGCGCUAUGGUGUGUUAUUCAUGCGGCCAUCCAGGCCACAUCCAGAAAGACUGUCCAGCAGCAAAGAGUAAUGUUGGUGGAGCCAAGUCACAGGCUAAUUCUUAUGUACCACCAUCACCUUAGAAGGGUGCUACUUCAGCCGCUGAAAAUUUCCGCAACCGGUUGUACGCCUUGACAAACUCCAGGAGGCAGAGGCCUUACCAGAUGUAGUAACUGGUACAUUGAAAAUCUUUUCUCGUGAUGUUUAUGUUUUACUUGAUCCCAAGUCUACUUUAUCUUCUGUGACCCCUUAUGUGGCUGUUGAUUUGGGUUUGAGCCCGAUGUGAUUUCUGAACUUUUCUCUGUUUCCACUUCGAUGGGAGAUUCUAUUAUAGAUAAAAGGGUGUUCUGAUCUGUGUUGUGACUGUUUGUGGCCGGGAUACUGUGGCAGACCUCAUAGAUCUUAAGAUGGUUGACUUUGAUGCCAUCUGGGAAUGGACAGGCUCCAUUCAUGUUAUGCCAUACUAAAUUGUAGGACCCAAAGAGUCACUUUUUCUUUUUUGAAUGAACCAGUCUUAGAAUGUGAGGGUCAUUGUUUAGCACCUAGAGGGAACUUUAUAUCUUAUCUUAGAGCCUGUAAACUUAUCUCAAAAGGGUAUUUGUACCAUCUUAUACGGGUUAAAGAUUCUAAUACCGAAAGUCCUUCCUGUUCGUCUGUCCCAGUGGUAAAUGAGUUCCCAUAAGUCUUUCCAGACGAUCUCCCGGGAAUACCACUUGAUAAAGAGAUAGAUUUUGGCAUUAAUUAAUUGCCAGAUACCCAUCCUAUCUCUAUUUCACCAUAUAGAAUGGCUCCAGCAGAGUUGAAAGAGCAGCUAGCAGAUCUUCUAGAUAAAGAUUUUAUCCUUCCUAGUGUUUCUCCCUGGGGUGCACCUAUACCUUUCGUGUGAAAGAAAGAUGGUUACUUGUGUAUGUGUAUAGAUUACUCAGCUGAAUAAGGUCACCGUUAAAAAUAAAUAUCCUCUUUCUAGAAUUAAUGACCUUUUUGACCAUCUUCAGGGUGCUAAAUACUUUUCAAAGAUAAACCUUCAAUCGGGAUAUCAUCAGUUGAAGGUUAGGGAGUCAGAUAUUCCCAAAAUAGCUUUCCGAACUAGAUACAGUCAUUAUGAAUUCUUAGUCAUGUCCUUUGAGUUGACUAACACCCCUGCAACUGUCAUGGAUCUAAUGAAUAAGGCAUUCCAUUAGUUUCUAGAUCUGUUUGUUAUAGUUUUCAUUGAUGAUAUUCUGAUUUAUUCUAAUAGUGAGGAGGACCAUGCCGACCACCUCCGAAUCAUCCUUCAAACUCUCAAACAUUAUGAGUUGUAUUUAAAAUUUUCCAAGUGCGAAUUUUGUCUUAAUGCUAUUGCUUUCUUGGGGCAUAGAGUGUCUAGUGAAGGGAUUAAGGUUGAUCCCCAAAAGAUUGAGAAAGUGAGAAAAUGGCCCAAACCCCCGACUCCAAUUGAUAUUCGAAGUUUCAUGGGUUUGGCAGGGUAUUACAGAAGAUUUGUAGAGAGUUUUUCUUCCAUAGCUGCACCACUUACUAAGUUGACUCAGAAAAAGGUGAAGUUCGUGUGGCCUGACUCCUGUGAGAAUAGUUUUGAGAAGUUAAAAGAUAAGUUGACAACUGCUCCUAUUUUGACUCUUUCGGAAGGUACAAAAGGGUUUGUUGUGUACUGUGAUGCGUCCCGUGUGGGACUAGGGUGUGUACUUAUGCAGCAUGGUAAAGUGGUGGUUUAUUCAUCUAGGCAGUUAAAAGUGCAUGAAUGAAAUUACCCCACCCAUGACUUGGAGUUAGCGGCUGUGGUGUUUGCACUCAAAAUCUGGUGGCAUUAUGUCUAUGGUUACAUGUUGAUAUAUUUACUUACCAUAAGAGCUUAUAAUAUGUUUUCUCAAAGAAAGAAUUGAACCUCAGGCAAUGGCACUGGAUGGAAUUUCUAAAGGAUUAUGACAUGAGUCUGCACUAUCAUUCGGGCAAGGAAAAUGCGGCAGCCGAUGCCCUUAGCAGGUUGUCUAUGGGCAGUCUUUCUCAUGUUGAAGAAGGGAAAAGAGAUAUGGUAAAGGAUAUUCACUGACUUGUAAAUCUUGGAAUGUGACUCUUGGAUUCCAAAGAUGGGGGAGUGGUUGUUCACGAGGUAGCUAAAUCUUCCCUUUGUGCUGAAGUUAAAGAGAAGCUAAUCAAAGAUCCCAUCUUGAUGCAGAUCAAGAAAGAUGUGGGUCAACAUAAGGUGAUGUCUUUGAAAUUAGUGGUGAUGGUAUUUUGAGAUAUCAAGGUAGAUUUUGUGUGCCAGAUGUAGAUGGUCUAAAGAAGAGAAUCCUUGACGAAGCUCACACUUUGAGGUAUGUUGUUCACCCAGUCUCUACCAAGAUGUAUCAUGAUCUGAAAGCCAUUUAUUGGUGGAAUAAUAUGAAGCGCGAUGUGGCUAACUAUGGUGCCAAGUGUUUGAACUGUGAACAAGUUAAGGUAGAUCAUAUGAGGCCUGGUGGUACUUCCCAAGAGAUUGCUUUGCCUUUAUAAAAAUGAGAAAUGAUCAAUAUGGAUUUCAUUACGGGACUUCCGAGGUCCCAAAAUCGAUAUGAUUCUAUUUGGGUAAUUGUUGAUCGGCUGACCAAGUCAGCUCACUUUCUGCCUGUUAGAACUAACUAUUUGGGAGAUGACUAUGCCAAGCUGUACAUUGAAGAGAUAGUCCGUUUGCAAGGAGCACCUGUAUCCAUCAUAUUUGACCGAGGUACGCAAUUUUCUUCAUAGUUUUAGAGGUCUUUUCAGAGGGGUUUAGGUACCCAAGUGAACCUAAGUACUUCUUUCCACCCUCAGACUGAUGGGCAAGCUGAGCGUACCAUUCAGACCCUUGAGGAUAUGUUGAGGGCUUGUGUAAUUGACUUCAAAGGUAGCUGGGUAGAUCACUUUUCUUUAAUAGAGUUUUCUUAUAAUAAUACCUACCAUGCUAGUAUUAAGAUGGCUCCAUUUGAAGCUUUGUAUGAGAGAAGAUGUAGAUCACCAAUAGGGUGGUAUGAAGUGGGUGGGACUCAAUUGUUCAGACCUGAUCUUGUUCAUCAGGCGAUGGAGGACAUGAAAUUAUUAGAGAAUGACUUAAAACAGCCCAGAGUAGACAAAAAUCCUAUGCCGAUGUUAGGUGAAGAGACUUAGAGUUUGAGGUUGGUGAUUGGGGGUUUCUAAAAGUCUCCCCUAUGAAGGGAGUUAUGCGAUUCGGGAAGAAAGGUAAGUUGAGUCCUCGCUAUAUAGGGCUAUACCAGAUUUUGAGAAGGAUAGGUGGGGUUGCGUAUGAGUUAGAGUUGCCUACAAGUUUGGGUUCUGUUCAUCCAGUAUUUCACAUAUCCAUGCUGAAGAAAUGUAUGGGAGACCAUUCCCUAGUGUUGUUUGUAGAGGAGAUCAAGGUGACAGACUCAUUAGCAUAUGAAGAGGAACCUAUUGCAAUCUUAGAUCGCCAAGUUCGGAAGUUGAGGAACAAAGAUAUAGUGUCGGUUAAGGUGUUUUGGAGAAAUCAGAAAGUUGGGGAAGCAACUUGGAAAUCAGAAAAUGACAUGAGAAAUAGAUACCCAGACUUAUUCGAUCCGAUGGAUGAUGAUAUGGAAGGUACAAUCCUUUUUUUAUUCUUUUAUGGCCUUAGUAUACUUUAAAUCGUUCUUGUCUGUGUUCUGCGUCAUCAUUCGGGGACGAAUAAUCCCAAGGGGGGAUAAUGUAACACCCUGCAAAAAUCAUCCAUGCGCUAGCUCGUGGUAAUAUACUCUUAGAGUUAACUGACUCGAAUUGUGUCAAAGAAACUUAGUCUCAUUUUUGACCUCCAAAGUGAUUAAAGUUUAAACCAAAUAUAAUUUUCCUAAUUUUGACUUUUAUCAUGUGAGAAAUUGAAUGAGCUUUCCGUCGAUAUAAGAUUCUCCAAAAUACGAUACCCGGGCAAGAAGUUAUGGCUAAUUUAAGUUCUAAUUGUAAAACACUGUCAUUUUGGUGCUUGGCGCGUCGCGGAGCGGACCUAUUUAGCAAUUGUCAAAUUCCAAUAGCAUAGAGCGAUUGUGGCGCGUUACGCUGAAGUUUCAGGUCCCAACCAGUGGGACAACACGAUGGCUCCACGUCGCGGUGACCUUAAGAAUCCUAUUCGUCAAUUUCUAGUGAGCCACCGUGAUUGUGGCACAUUGCGGUGGCCCAUCAAAUUGGGCUCUCAGUUAUUUUUUAUUCGGUCUCAUUAAGGGUACAUUGGGUAUUUUCCACCCGUUAUCAGCUUAAACAUGGGAUUUUAAUCUCAAAUGACCUCAUUAUUGAUAUUUUUAUCAAAAACCAUCAAGAACACUCUCUAGGGUUUCAAACUAAAAACCCAAACAACUCAAGAUUCAACCGUGUGUUUUAGAAACUAAUUGAAGAUUUGGAAUCCCCAAGCCGUGCGCAUCAAGAAUCAUUCUUUAAUUUCCUAAAUAGAGGUACGUGGGGUUUAUCCUAAAAUUACAUGGGCUUGUUAAAACACCCAAUUAUGAUUUAAAAAUCAUCAAGCAUGAAUUUGUUAAAGGGGUUUUGAGAUCCAUGAUUUUAUUAUGCUUUAUGCAUGUUUAAUGAUAUUGUUGUUCUGGCAUUUAGGCCAUAUCCCCUUAAACUGAUUUACACAUAUAAGUAUAUGUAUGAAAUUUGAAAUUGAAGAUUUCUUUGAGAGCACAAUUAAUGAAAAUCCCUCUCUUGUGAUAACCUUAUUUUUAUGAUCUUACGGUGAUUGAUUGAAAUGCAUGAUUUAUGGCUUGAAAAUAGUUUACUCAAAUACCAUAGUAUUUUGAGCACGAUUUAGAGAUUUAAGAGAGGGAGUUUCUUGAUGUAAAUAUAUUUUGUUAAAAGAGAAAGAUUUGCAUGAGAUUAAGAGUUUUGACAUGACCACCUUGCAUCAUUGAAAGUUUGACAAACAGAGUUACAUACAUAUGUUUACAUGAGUUUUAGAGAAAGAGUUCUUUGAAAUGAUUCAUUGAUAUGGUUGUCCCGAAUUAAUAUUUUGAAAACAGAGAUUGAAAUAUGCUAAAAAUAGCUCAGAGAUGUGACUUAGAAGUCAAUAGUAUGAUGAUACCAUAUAAAUGUAUGCUAUAACAGAGUUAGAGUUUUCAGAGUAUGUUUUCAGAGAAUGCAUGUCUUAAAGAGUUAAAAAUGCGCAUAAAGAGAGUUAGGUGGUCGCCUGAAGAGGGCUAGAGUUCAAGUAACUCUUAGCCUAAAAUCGUGAUUUGCCGAUCCGGGUAUAUUAUUUUUAUGCUGGAGACGACCGUGUGGCGUAGCAGAGUCAGAGGCUCUAACCUUUGUGGCACACUUAGGUUGGAGGCUUCCCCGCCGAGUCAAUGGCGGAUUUCAUAUAGUCCGUCAAAUUUUAGAGUUGUAGAGUAUACCACCUAGCGCAGAAGUAAAACAAAGAAUGUCUCAGUGUUCAGAUGAUUUUCUUUCAGAGUCUUUCAGAAAUGCCCAUGUGAUUUUUUACUAUAUGAUAUGUUUAUCAACUGUAUUUAAAUUGCUCUCAUAUAUGUUGAAUAAAAUUAUUAUUUUGGAUUUUCUCUGUGUACCAGUACAUCUGUAUUGACCCCUUACCUCCCAGGUUCGGAGGCUCAGUCUAAGGGUCCGGCUAAUUAGUAGAAUAUUUCAUAGAGAAGUGAUACGUUUAGUGGUGAGCUUUCUUUGUUCCAGAAGGCCUGUUAUUUCAGAUUAUGUUAUUCAAUUGGUUUGAUCUACUGGGGGCCUUGUCCUAGUUUUUAGAUAGUUAUCAGAUUUUCAUGUAGUAGAGAUUUCUCAGACUGUUCCAGAUGUUGUUUAGUUGAUUUCGGAUUUCAUUCCUUAUUGUUAAACUAAAUCCAGAGUAUGACCAUGUUUCCGUAUCAGAUUAUAUUUCUGCAUCUUCUUUAUUUAUGUGAAUGUUGUGCAUGAUUACCAGUUAGAGUAGGACGCCGGGCCUUCAUGGUUCGGGAUGUCCGUCACUGCCAGUCCCUAGUUCAGAUCGUGACAGAUAACAUGGUAUGUCGGCAAGUUGGACAUGCUUUUUUUCAUGAUACUCCAAUCCUUGCGGCUACUCGGAUCGGGGGCUUAGCCAAAGAGUUAAUGGUGGAUCCAUAUAGCCCAUGGAUAAUCAUGUUUGUAGGGUGUACCAUCUAGCUCAGAACUAAAGAACAAAGUUGAGUUAGUAUUUUACAAGCAUGAAUUGAAGCUCUUUAUGUUAUGCCUAUGUGUUUUUUAUAUAUAUAUGAUAAACUGUACGUUUUACCAUAGCUCUUAAUUACUUUACAUGUAAUAUACGCUAUUUUGGGUUAGUUCUAUAUACCAAUACAAUCCAAGUAUUGACCUCUCCCCAAUACAAGUUCUGAGGCACAAUCCUGUGGUCUGAUUUAGCAGUAAAUUACUCCCAGACAUCCAGAGUUGGUGAGCCUCCCUUACUUCGGAAGAAAUCUUACCCAUAUGUUGUUUCCUUUGAGUUUUAUGAUCCGGCCGGGGGCCUUGUUCGGAUUUAGAUGGACUAGUAUGUUCAGUUCAGUAGAGGCUUCGAAGAUUCAUUUAUAUUGGAUUUGGGUUUUCUUAUGGAUUGGUUUCAUGAAGUAUUAAGUUUGAUUAUGGGAUUUUCAUGUUUUCAGUUUAUUUUUCGCAUUUUUAUUUCAUAUAAAUUAUGCUUCUGAUUGAAUACUAUGGAGUCUCUCGGGCCUUCAUGGUUCGGGAUGCCUGUCACGGCCAGGGCCUCGGUUCGGAUCAUGACAUGGAUCUAGAACUUAAGAGUCGUGAGUGCUCGGAAGGUUCGAACACAUAUAGUGAUGUUAAGGUUAUGCUUGUAAACUAAAACACUCAGUUAUCUUCUUUGUUUGCAGGGUGAUUUUUAAAAUCUUAUAUUGAUUUUUAUAUUUUUUUAAAAUAUAAUUAUACUUGGUUUGUAUUGAAUUUAAUGGGUGCCAGAGCAUUAAUUAUUUGGCUAUAGGUCCACUGCCCUUCUGUCUGAUGUGAGGUAUUAUUUAAUCUCGAGACUAUUAUAUCCCACCAAACACCCCCUUAAAGUGAACAAAGGCAUAAUAUAUGAAUUUUAAAUAGGAUAUCAGCAUUAUGUGUGUGUUAGUUAGCGCGAAGCGCGGAUCAGUUACCUAGUACACUAAAAAAUUGGAUAUCCACCAAAUUAAUUUGAGGUAUACUUUAAACCAAAAAGUACUAUAAAUAGGUGAAUUAUUACACUAAACAAAUCGUCCAAACACAAGAAACUCAAACAACAAGCAUUUAAUAAAAAAGAGAAGCAAAUUACACCAAAAAAAUUCACACAGAAAAAAAUGGAGUCAUCAAAGAAGCUUGUUGCCAUGUUUCUUGUUUGCAUUGUUGUGUUAUCCUACUCUGUGCAUGUUUCCAAUGCUGCUGAUGAAGAUAGUGCAAGGAGAUUUGUGGAUAAAGCUCACGCAGAUUAUGCAGCUUGUUUCAAUGACUGUGACGAGGACUGUACUCAUCAAGGAUUAGGAUUCACAUUUUGUGAGGUUAAAUGUGACGAGGAUUGCACUGAUCAAUUGCUUAAAGGUAUAUAUACACACCAUUUACUUCCACCGUUUAAACAAAAAUGAUUUGUUUUGACCUGACACCUAUGUUUGAUUUUACCUAUAUAAUCAUUUACUCCCAUCAUUUAAACAAGAAUAAUCUGUUUUGACCUGACACGUAUGAUGGAUUUUACCUGUAUAUUCAUUUAUUCCCACCGUUU
RNAcentral lists this long non-coding RNA (18293 nucleotides) under Capsicum annuum. Its description in RNAcentral is "long non-coding RNA (CANN_LNC010694)". The record is from RNAcentral. Lineage: Eukaryota; Viridiplantae; Streptophyta; Magnoliopsida; Solanales; Solanaceae.